AUGAUAAUGCCGGUGGAGCAGUCCCAGUAUGUUAGCAUAAAAAUGGGUGUUGGCAUCAUAACUUGGUGUCGUGUCCAUGACAUGAUACUUGAUAUGAUAUGUCUAUUGUCGAAGGAAGAAAACUUUAUUACUGUGUUGGACAGUGAUGAGCAAUAUACAACUUCACAUUGCAACGCUCGUAGGCUAGCUGUUCAACAUGUAGUCCAACCUCUGGCUAGCACGUCAACAUUACAAACAAGGUCACUUAAUGCCAUUUGCAAUGCUGAGAUGUUGCCGUCACUUUCAUGCUUUGAAGUUUUGCGUGUCCUAGCUUUGGAAGACCCCCUUGGUUCGCACAAUCCUAAUUAUCUUGAGCAUGUUGGAAAGUUAGUUCACUUGAGGCACCUCAAAUUAGAGAGCAUGGGUAUCCGUGAGCUCCCAAAGGAAAUAGGACAUCUGAAGUUCUUGCUGGUAUUGGACUUGGGUAGAAAUAGCAUAAGUGAACUUCCAGAGAGUAUUGGUGGACGAAGUCAACUAAAGUGCUUGAACAUGUGUGAAACAGAAAUUGAAGUGCCAUGCUGGAUCGGGAAUUUGACAUCUCUGGAAGAGCUAUGCCUAGGACAAGUUGGUGUGCGCUCCAACUUUGUGACAGAACUGGGCAAGUUGACAGCGUUGAGGAAGCUCCGCAUUUCUGGAAGUGUAUAUUUAUAUGGUGAUGAUAGUAGAAUGAAUAGUUGGGCAGAGUCUGUAGCCAAACUCAGCAAGAUCCAAGUCAUAGACAUUCACUCAGUUUACGGGCGGAGAGAUUCUAGUGAUGAAGAGAAACCCUGGGAACAGUAUGUCCUCUCUCCACAACUCCGUGUUCUACACAUGUGCUACGAUGAACCUAGGUUGAUGGCAAGGAUCAAUCCCAGGCUUCUUCCGAAUCUAUCCCAAUUAAAAUUGUUUAUAUACAACCCAGAUCUGGAGGUCUUUGGAAGUUUCCACGAGCUUGUUUCUCUUGAGCUGAACACGUGGUCAGCUCUCCACCAUGACACCAUGGGCGGUGCAGGUGCAUUCCCCAAGCUGAGGGUUUUCAACACACCAGCAACCCUUGGCUCGUUUCAAGAGGAGGAUAUGCCGGUCCUUGAAUUUCUUGAGUUCAGCGUUGUAGCACAGUCCAAUGAUGAUGGCAUUAGCUUUGAAUUUGACUUUGGUAGCCUAGGGAACCUCCCUUUGCUUCAGCAUGUCACAGUCACUUUAUAUGCCCCUCCUGUGGACUAUAAAAAGGCUAGCAAAAUGGUGAAGCGUGCAAUUGAUACGCUUCCCAACCGUGUCAGUCCUUAUAUCAGCACAAUGGACAUAAAGGACUGGAGUCGGAGAUUGACAAACAGAUUGAGCUAA
This 1362-nucleotide ribosomal RNA is filed under the name Triticum aestivum (bread wheat). RNAcentral describes it as "partial small subunit ribosomal RNA". Lineage: Eukaryota; Viridiplantae; Streptophyta; Magnoliopsida; Poales; Poaceae. The record is from RNAcentral.